UACGUAGGGGGCGAGCGUUGUCCGGAUUUAUUGGGCGUAAAGAGCUCGUAGGCGGUUUGGCAAGUCGGGCGUGAAAACUCCGGGCUCAACUCGGAGACGCCACUCGAUACUGCCAUGACUCGAGUCCGGUAGGGGAGUGCGGAAUUCCUGGUGUAGCGGUGAAAUGCGCAGAUAUCAGGAGGAACACCGGUGGCGAAGGCGGCACUCUGGGCCGGUACUGACGCUGAGGAGCGAAAGCGUGGGGAGCGAACAGG
RNAcentral lists this ribosomal RNA (254 nucleotides) under uncultured bacterium. RNAcentral describes it as "partial 16S ribosomal RNA". It matches the Rfam family "Bacterial small subunit ribosomal RNA", at positions 524 to 776 of the family's 1533-position model. The record is from RNAcentral.